GAUGUUUCACAACCACAUGUAAAUGAAAUUUCUACAAAUGAACUUCUGAAAACUUUGAAAAGGAAACUCAGUAAGUCUAAAAGAAGUGAAGAUGAUAACAUUAAGAUGAAAAGGUCUGAAUCUAUUGAAUUGGACAAUGAUGUAAUGAUAAAUCAGGUUCUACGUGAUAUCAUACAAAGGGAUCAAAUUAUCAACAGUUUGAAAAAAAAAGCUUAAUAUUCAUCACAACAUAGGUGAUCAAAAUUUGAAGGACAAAAAUGUUGACACUGAUUUGAAGUCUGAUGCAUUCUCUAGAUUCUCAGUCAAAUAUUUCUCAAAAGUUCUUGAUUCUUUAAGUCCACAUCACAAAACAGUCAUUGAAAAUUAUUGUUUUCAAAGCAUGCUGCUAUUUGACAAGUGUUUUGUUCCCAAUUCUUUUGCUCUCUGGAUUACAAAACAAGUAGAUGUGAACUGUUCUGAUAUAGUUUUGGGCCAAAAACUUAUUCCAUUGAACAAGCAAUCUGUCCAUGUUGUGCUAGGCCUCCCUGUUGGUGGUAGUACAAUCCAUUCAAAAUUUGAUUAUGGCAAACAAAAGAUUCUUCAGAUUUUUGGGAAAACUUCUAUUCCUUCUGUCAAGUUCUUUGGAGAAAAGUUAAUUAAAAAUGAAGAACUUCCCGAUGAUCAAAUUCUCAUCUGCUUUAUGAUUGUUUCCUUGAAUUGCUUCCUUUGUCCAAACUCUUCUUUGAUUCCAAGUACAAAAUACCUAAGUGCCUUUGAAGACAUGGACUUAAUUGAAAGUUUGGACUGGUGCAAGUUAGUUUUUGACUGGUUGAUGGAACACAUUAGCAAGAUUGAGAAAUCGAAAACUUUUGGUGGUUGUUUAUUCCAUUUAGCGGUUAAUUACCUGGAUUUUCUCAACUUUGGUUCACAAAAAGUAUUACUUGAUACACCAAUAAUUAAAGUUUGGAAAAGAUCUAUGAUUAAGGACUAUUCCAAAUUUGAUAAAAUAUCUGAAGGAGUGUAUGGAAAAAGACCAGUCAAUGAUAUCGCUUCAA
Oryza sativa Japonica Group (Japanese rice) is the source of this 1034-nucleotide non-coding RNA. The record is from RefSeq and is a predicted model, not a curated record. Lineage: Eukaryota; Viridiplantae; Streptophyta; Magnoliopsida; Poales; Poaceae.